AAGGCUUUAGCUUAAUUAAAGUGUCUGUUUUGCAAAUAGAAGAUGUGGGUUAGUAUCCUGUAAGUCUUA
RNAcentral lists this transfer RNA (69 nucleotides) under Brachyrhaphis hartwegi. RNAcentral describes it as "tRNA-Ala". It matches the Rfam family "tRNA". Rfam says of the family: Transfer RNA (tRNA) molecules are approximately 80 nucleotides in length. Lineage: Eukaryota; Metazoa; Chordata; Actinopteri; Cyprinodontiformes; Poeciliidae. The record is from RNAcentral.